UGCGUUUCUGAGAUUGGACCUUUAAAGAAC
RNAcentral lists this non-coding RNA (30 nucleotides) under Rattus norvegicus (Norway rat). Lineage: Eukaryota; Metazoa; Chordata; Mammalia; Rodentia; Muridae. The record is from RNAcentral.